Molecule: ribosomal RNA, 496 nt
Filed under: uncultured bacterium
Lineage: Bacteria
Description: partial 16S ribosomal RNA
Rfam family: Bacterial small subunit ribosomal RNA
Source: RNAcentral
GACGAACGCUGGCGGCGUGCCUAAUACAUGCAAGUAGAACGCUGAAGAGAGGAGCUUGCUCUUCUUGGAUGAGUUGCGAACGGGUGAGUAACGCGUAGGUAACCUGCCUUGUAGCGGGGGAUAACUAUUGGAAACGAUAGCUAAUACCGCAUAACAAUGGAUGACACAUGUCAUUUAUUUGAAAGGGGCAAUUGCUCCACUACAAGAUGGACCUGCGUUGUACUAGCUAGUAGGUGAGGUAACGGCUCACCUAGGCGACGAUACAUAGCCGACCUGAGAGGGUGAUCGGCCACACUGGGACUGAGACACGGCCCAGACUCCUACGGGAGGCAGCAGUAGGGAAUCUUCGGCAAUGGGGGCAACCCUGACCGAGCAACGCCGCGUGAGUGAAGAAGGUUUUCGGAUCGUAAAGCUCUGUUGUAAGUCAAGAACGAGUGUGAGAGUGGAAAGUUCACACUGUGACGGUAGCUUACCAGAAAGGGACGGCUAACUACGU